UUACGACCACAUCAAGUUGGAACACUCGUUCCCGUACGUUCAGCGAAGUUAAGCAACGUCGAGCCUGGAUAGUACCUAUAUAGGUGAUCGCUUGAGAAUACAAGAUGAUGUAA
Acanthosepion pharaonis is the source of this 113-nucleotide non-coding RNA. NCBI's taxonomy places the organism in Eukaryota, Metazoa, Mollusca, Cephalopoda, Sepiida, Sepiidae. The record is from the annotation of a GenBank genome assembly.